Molecule: long non-coding RNA, 2360 nt
Filed under: Ananas comosus (pineapple)
Lineage: Eukaryota; Viridiplantae; Streptophyta; Magnoliopsida; Poales; Bromeliaceae
Description: long non-coding RNA (ACOM_LNC027678)
Source: RNAcentral
AUGACCCGUGCGUGCUGAGCUAGGCGAGUAUGGUAGUGAGGAUGACGACAGCCGAAUCUGAGUUAGAGAAGGAGAUAAAGAGGGAGAUGAAGGAAAAUUGGGAAGGAGAAGAGGAGAAGAAGAAGGAAAAAUUGGGGAAGAAGAUAUUACCAUUUCAUUGCUGUCUUCUAAUUUCAUUACAAUGCUACUUAUACCUCCCCUAUUACGUACUGAAAUGUAAUUACAUAAAGAUAACUGCUCAAGUUGUAAAAUAAGUAACUAAACAGUAAUGGGCUAAUGUGGGCCCAAUCUGCCAGUGGAUCUGGGCUCCUUGAUCUGCCUGGUUAAGUUGGCGGAUCGGGUUCCACCCGUUAGUCGCCCGCUCCACUCGCUCGUGCCCGCUCUGUUAAGCUUGGAUUUAUUUACUUAUGCCCCUUUGACUGACAUAGAUUCUGUCGUAUCUCUUGACCUCAACCCUACUCUUCUCCCUCUCCUCCGAUCUUUCUCCCCGCCGGCGUUACAUUGCGUCUCUAGGCUCGGAUGAGAAGAUACUGUAAGGCCCGGACUCACCGCAACCACCUAAGUGAGGAUUGUGGAUGAAUGGGAUCAGAUCUGGGGAUAAUUCGGUGGGGAAAUGGUAGAGAAUUAGAGCUAGAGAAGAGAGGUGGGGAAGAGAUGGGUCUGAGGAAGAAGAAGAAGGAAAAAGAAGAUAGAAUUAGGAGGAAGAGAAAUUACCAAUUCAUUCCAUAUAUAUAUAAACUUCUCAGCCGCUACAUCUCCUAUCUAUUAUCUAUUACUAUAUACUAAAGUAGAACCCUUUAUGAACUCUAUAUGAGAAACUGACAGGUGGCUUUCUAUAUGCUUGCCACGUGUCAAGCUCAAAUAUAAAUAUAGAUUUUCUAAAUUACAUAUCUAUUCUAUUUACUAUUCUAUGAGAUAUUGCGAAAUUCACGGAUAUUACGUUGCGAAAGAAUUGGCGGGUGCGGAUAUUACGCGUGAGAAGGAAAAAUUAUAUUCUUAAAUGCAAAUGGUAGGUGGAUUAAUGAGAUAUUGAGAAAAUGAGAUAUUGCAAAAUUCACGGAUAUUAGCAGGUGCGGAUAUUACUAUAUUUACUAUAUACUAAGUAGAACCCUUUAUGAACCAUAUGUGAGAAACUGACACGUGGCUUUCUAUAUACUUGCCACGUGUCAAGCUCAAAUAUAAAUAUAGAUUUUCUAAAUUACAUAUCUAUUCUAUUUACUAUUCUAUGAGAUAUUGCGAAAUUCACGGAUAUUACGUUGCGAAAGAAUUAGCGGGUGCAGAUAUUACGCGUGAGAAGGAAAAACUAUAUUGUUAAAUUCAAAUGCUAGAUGGAUUAAUGAGAUAUUGAAAAAAUGAGAUAUUGUAAAAUUCACGGAUACUGGCAGGUGCGGAUAUUACUAUAUACUAAAGUAGAACCUUUUAUGAACCUUGUGUGAGAAGUUGACACGUGGCUUUCUAUAUAUUUGCCACAAGUCAAGGUCAAAUACAAUUAUAGAUUUUCUAAAUUUAUCUAUCUAUUACUAUAUACUAAAGUAGACCCCUUUAUGAACCCUAUGUGAGAAGCUGACACGUGGCUUUCUAUAUGCUUGCCACGUGUUAAGCUCAAAUACAAAUAUAGAUUUUUUAGGAUAUUACUAUAUACUAAAGUAGGACCCUUUAUGAACCCUGUGUGAGAAGCUGACACGUGGCUUUUUAUUUACUUGUCACAUGUCAAGGUCAAAUAUAAAUAUAGAUUUUCUAAAUCUAUCUACUACUAUAUACUAAAGUAGACCCCUUUAUGAACCCUAUAUGAGAAGUUGACACAUGACUUUCUAUAUGCUUGCCACGUGUCAAACUCAAAUACAAAUAGAUUUUCUAUUACUAUAUACUAAAGUAGAACCCUUUAUGAACCUUGUGUGAGAAUCUGACACGUGGCUUUCUAUAUGCUUGCCACGUGUCAAGGUCAAAUACAAAUAUAGAUUUUCUAAAUUUCUCUAUUACUAUAUACUAAAAUAGACCCCUUUAUAGACCCUAUGUGAGAAGCUGACACGUGGUUUUCUAUAUGCUUGCCACGUGUCAAGCUUAAAUGCAAAUAUAGAUUUUCUAAAUAUGACUAGAUUGACAGUUAUAUCGAAAACAAAUUAUAUUAUAGAUAACUUUAUAAUAAGUAGGCAACAAAGUUUUUUUUCUUUAUAUUUUCUUGAAGACCAACAUCUAUAUAUUUUUGAGUCUUGAAAAUUUGUAUGUCUCUCAUAUGCGUGUGCUUACUCUAAUUUGUAUCAAAUAUAAAAAUUUAGUUGAUCUUAUUAUAUGUUUAAAUACUAAUGUCAUUUGUAAUUUUUCAUAUCAAUUUUAGUUAUCAUUUUGUUUUGCACAUCAAU